RNAcentral lists this small RNA (585 nucleotides) under Pongo abelii (Sumatran orangutan). RNAcentral describes it as "retained intron". The record is from RNAcentral. Lineage: Eukaryota; Metazoa; Chordata; Mammalia; Primates; Hominidae.
UUUUUUCCUCCUUCUAGAGUCAAUGCAUGUGUUGAUGUGGUGCUCUCAGGGGUGAAGCUCUUGCAGGCACUUGGCCUUAGUCCUGGGAAUGGGAAAGAUCACAGCAUUCUGCAUUCAAGGAAUGAUCUGGAAGAAGCCUUCAUUCACUUCAUGGGGAAGGGAGCCGCUGCUGAGCGCUUCUUCAGUGAUAAGGAAACUUUUCACGACAUUGCCCAGGUUGCGUCAGAGUUCCCAGGAGCCCAGCACUAUGUAGGAGGAAAUGCAGCUUUAAUUGGACAGAAAUUUGCAGCCAACUCAGAUUUAAAGGUUCUUCUUUGCGGUCCAGUUGGUCCAAAGCUACAUGAGCUUCUUGAUGACAAUGUCUUUGUUCCAUCAGAGUCAUUGCAGGAAGUGGAUGAGUUCCACCUCAUUUUAGAGUAUCAAGCAGGUAAGGAAACGAGUAAGUAAUGGUGGCAAGACCAGUCAAGGGACUGUGUAUUGUCAGAUUGGGGUGUGACCAUGCCAGAAAUUUAUCUUUGUAAAUUAGCAGGAUCCUGUUUUUGCCAUACUGAAAGUUUCCUGACCUAUUGGUUCUACUGAGCUGAU